UCCGAGUUGACCCCGGCGGUCUCCCAUAAGUCCCCGGCAUAACCCGCUGGCAAUAUGGGACGAGGGUUGCGCUCGUUGCGGGACUUAACCCAACAUCUCACGACACGAGCUGACGACAACCAUGCACCACCUGUACACCCCCAACUAAAUGACCCUGCAUCUCUACAGGUCCAGGAUGUAUGUCAAGCCCAGGUAAGGUUCUUCGCGUUGCAUCGAAUUAAGCCGCAUGCUCCGCCGCUUGUGCGGGCCCCCGUCAAUUCCUUUGAGUUUUAGCCUUGCGGCCGUACUCCCCAGGCGGGGCGCUUAAUGCGUUAGCUACGACGCGGAAACCGUGAACCAGUCCCCACACCUAGCGCCCACCGUUUACAGCAUGGACUAC
Molecule: unclassified non-coding RNA, 379 nt
Filed under: uncultured Actinomycetes bacterium
Lineage: Bacteria; Bacillati; Actinomycetota; Actinomycetes
Description: uncultured actinobacterium contains 16S-23S intergenic spacer region
Source: RNAcentral